This 252-nucleotide ribosomal RNA is filed under the name uncultured bacterium. Its description in RNAcentral is "partial 16S ribosomal RNA". It matches the Rfam family "Bacterial small subunit ribosomal RNA", at positions 524 to 776 of the family's 1533-position model. The record is from RNAcentral.
UACGUAGGGUGCAGCGUUAAUCGGAAUUACUGGGCGUAAAGCGGGCGCAGGCGGUUAUGUAAGACAGGGGGGAAAUCCCCGGGCUUAACCUGGGAACUGCAUUUGUGACUGCAUAGCUAGAGUACGGUAGAGGGGGAUGGAAUUCCGCGUGUAGCAGUGAAAUGCGUAGAUAUGCGGAGGAACACCGAUGGCGAAGGCAAUCCCCUGGACCUGUACUGACGCUCAUGCACGAAAGCGUGGGGAGCAAACAGG